GUUGGAAACGACGAAUAAUACCCUAUGACAUAAACUCCUCGCAUGAGGAGCUUAUCAAAGAUUUAUCGGUGUAAGAUGGACUCGCGUCUGAUUAGCUAGUUGGUGAGGUAACGGCCCACCAAGGCGACGAUCAGUAGCCGGCUUGAGAGAGUGUACGGCCACAUUGGGACUGAGACACGGCCCAGACUCCUACGGGAGGCAGCAGCA
This 207-nucleotide ribosomal RNA is filed under the name uncultured Anaerococcus sp. Its description in RNAcentral is "partial 16S ribosomal RNA". It matches the Rfam family "Bacterial small subunit ribosomal RNA", at positions 149 to 355 of the family's 1533-position model. Lineage: Bacteria; Bacillati; Bacillota; Tissierellia; Tissierellales; Peptoniphilaceae. The record is from RNAcentral.